GAUGAAGAACGCAGCGAAAUGCGAUACUUGGUGUGAAUUGCAGAAUCCCGUGAACCAUCGAGUCUUUGAACGCAAGUUGCGCCCGAAGCCAUUAGGCCGAGGGCACGCCUGCCUGGGCGUCACACGUCGUUGCCCCCCCAUCUACUCCUUCGGGAUUGCGGGGGGCGGAUGAUGGCCUCCCGUGCGCCUCGCCGCGCGGUUGGCAUAAAUGCCAAGUCCUCGGCGACGCACGCCACGACAAUCGGUGGUCGCGAAACCUCGGUUGCCCGUCGUGUGCGGUCGUCGCGCAUCGAGGGCUCGAAAAAAUUGCCGGGUUCCGGCUCGGCUUUCAACGCGACCCCAGGUCAGGCGGGGUUACCCGCUGAAUUUAAGCAUAUCAAUAAGCGGAGGA
This 391-nucleotide unclassified non-coding RNA is filed under the name soil metagenome. RNAcentral describes it as "partial contains 5.8S ribosomal RNA, internal transcribed spacer 2, and large subunit ribosomal RNA". The stretch from base 1 to 122 matches the Rfam family "5.8S ribosomal RNA", at positions 35 to 154 of the family's 154-position model. The record is from RNAcentral.